RNAcentral lists this long non-coding RNA (408 nucleotides) under Pomacea canaliculata. RNAcentral describes it as "uncharacterized LOC112558380, transcript variant X3". Lineage: Eukaryota; Metazoa; Mollusca; Gastropoda; Architaenioglossa; Ampullariidae. The record is from RNAcentral.
GAGAAUUGAAAUUGAUGCUACAGGAAGUAAAAGAUAUGGUGAUUCAUUCACUGAUAAGCAAAGACCAGCCUGCUCCAGCAAAGGAUGCCUGAAUGUUGCCAGAAGAUUUGAUCCUUCUGAUUAGAACGCAGCAAGAGCUGUUGGAACUGGAUGGACGCCUUGAUGAUGAUUCCUUUCAUGAAUUACUCUCAAAAGCCUCUCCUGUGUGGGUAGAAUGAAUGCAAAGGAUUGUGCGAAAAGAAUCAUGCGGCGACUCCUGACCGACAAGGUUGCUCGGAACUAUAACUGGAAAGGACAAAAGGAAGAGAUGUGUGCUUUCAAGGGACUGAAAUGAUCUACAUGAUCUGCAAAGCUGUACGGAAGAACCGUGGGUGUAUGGAGGCUUCCGAUAAAGUUAGUGCAGGAGCC